UACGUAGGUCCCGAGCGUUGUCCGGAUUUAUUGGGCGUAAAGCGAGCGCAGGUGGUUUAUUAAGUCUGGUGUAAAAGGCAGUGGCUCAACCAUUGUAUGCAUUGGAAACUGGCGUGCUGGAGUGCCGGAGAGGUAAGCGGAAUUCCUAGUGUAGCGGUGAAAUGCGUAGAUAUUAGGAGGAACACCAGUGGCGAAGGCGGCUUACUGGACGGCAACUGACGCUGAGGCUCGAAAGCGUGGGGAGCAAACAGG
Molecule: ribosomal RNA, 252 nt
Filed under: uncultured bacterium
Lineage: Bacteria
Description: partial 16S ribosomal RNA
Rfam family: Bacterial small subunit ribosomal RNA
Source: RNAcentral